CCCCUCUUUCUAUUCAUUUAUUCUUUCUUCUUGAUUAGUUGGAUAGGUUCUUAUACGGUAACCAAAAAUCUUACCACACGAAGUAGUUACAAACAGCAGAGAUGCUUAGAAGAUUUAAAUCUGUAGAACUUAAUGACAGAAAAGAUGGCAGACAAAGCAUUACACAAGAGCAGCUACAGCCCAACGCACCCACUCAAAAGGAGAGAAGAAGAAAUACACCCAUAUUCUAAAGUUUGGUAAAUUAAUCCCAAUGGUGCAUGGGAAGAACUGCAAUGUCCACGACAAUACUUUUCAUUUGCAAUGAGCACCCCCGCCGAGAAAAUAUUGGGUGGUCCGGGACCGCCACGUCAAUGUGGUCCCGGACCACUCACGCAAUGCCACGUGUAAGGGGAGGGAACCAAAGGACCUACCCCUGUCUCUCUCCUCUUUCUCUUCUCUGUCUCCCUCCCCUUACACGUGGCGCCGUGUGUAAGGGGAGGGACCAUGCUGAUGUGGCGGUCCCAAAUCACCCAAUAUUUUCUCCACCCUGCCCCCCAAAAAAGGGGGAAAAAGCAUGGUGAUACUGGCAAUGUCACCCGUGAAAUGUCAAAAUUCCCCAUUAAAAAAAAGGCCUUUAGGCCCAUGUGGCCCAGGCACGACUCAUGGGCCGCCAAGCCCAUGAUGAGAUCUAGUCAAGCGGGACAUAGAAAUGGUUUAGAAGUGCAUAGCAGGGACUGUGGAGGUGGUUGCAAUGGCUUUUACGGUGGCAAAGGUGGUGCUGGGGGCUCAAGGGCUGUCGCGUGACAAGGAAGGGC
RNAcentral lists this long non-coding RNA (794 nucleotides) under Eucalyptus grandis. RNAcentral's name for it is "long non-coding RNA (EGRA_LNC004923)". Lineage: Eukaryota; Viridiplantae; Streptophyta; Magnoliopsida; Myrtales; Myrtaceae. The record is from RNAcentral.